ACAGGUGGUGCAUGGUUGUCGUCAGCUCGUGUCGUGAGAUGUUGGUUAAGUCCCGUAACGAGCGCAACCCUUGUCCUUAGUUACCAGCACGUUAAGGUGGGCACUCUAAGGAGACUGCCGGUGACAAACCGGAGGAAGGUGGGGAUGACGUCAAGUCAUCAUGGCCCUUACGGCCUGGGCUACACACGUGCUACAAUGGUCGGUACAAAGGGUUGCCAAGCCGCGAGGUGGAGCUAAUCCCAUAAACCGAUCGUAGUCCGGAUCGCAGUCUGCAACUCGACUGCGUGAAGUCGGAAUCGCUAGUAAUCGUGAAUCAGAAUGUCACGGUGAAUACGUUCCCGGGCCUU
RNAcentral lists this ribosomal RNA (347 nucleotides) under uncultured Pseudomonas sp. RNAcentral's name for it is "bacterial SSU rRNA". It matches the Rfam family "Bacterial small subunit ribosomal RNA", at positions 1034 to 1382 of the family's 1533-position model. Lineage: Bacteria; Pseudomonadati; Pseudomonadota; Gammaproteobacteria; Pseudomonadales; Pseudomonadaceae. The record is from RNAcentral.